UGCGCGUGUGGCCCGCCCCCUCUUUAACCCUUGGCCUUCCGGAGCUGGUGGCGCAAGUGUGGCCCCAGGGGCCGCUCCCAGGACCCUUCCCACCAGUGGCCUGGCUCCCCUCGGCCCCGCGCAGCCAGACCGCGCCGCUCUGCGCCUUCAAAGGGCGUUUGCGGGUACCUGUGCCUGGUCUACGGGUGACCCAGCCUGGGGUCUUCGGGCUGUCCCAGGGUGGGGGCACCUUGUGUGCCGGAGUGAGCCAGUGCAUUGUGAUGUGUGUGCAGUGGGCUUGCAGAUGGCUGGUGCUGCGACCUGUGUGUCUUUAGUUUCCCUCCUUGGACUCCAGUUGGGUCAUUGUCCCAUUGCCACAGACAGGCUGUACCUUCUCCACGCUCUGGGGCCUGUCCGAGCUUUCCUGUCUUGCAACCCCAGACCCAUCACCUGCCCUCAACCUUCCAGGCGCCUGAAAGAUCCAGAAGCCAGUGGACCCCAGAUGGGCCAUAUUAAAGGACAUGUGUGUGACACGUGGAUGGGGCGUGCAUGCCUGGAGUCCCCUGCUUAACAGCUUGGAUUGAAGAGGCUUGUCUGGGGGGACUGAGACCUUGCAGAUCAUUCCAGGAGCCGCCUCCUUCCAAGGCCAACAGCUUCAUCAGGCUGCUGGCCUGGGAGAAGGUGGGACUGCAGUUGCCCAACAUCCUGCGGCUGCCCACACAGACACCCCGUGUGCACCCCAGGGCUGAGAGCAGAGGGAGCCAUCUCCCUGUGUGUAGGACACUGCCUGGUGGGUGUUCCCUUCCAGCCCCUCUAGAAUGCAUGCUUGAAUGGCCAGUGAGGCUGGGGGAGGGACCAAGGGGGACCCCUCACCCCCAGCAGCACAGAGCAGGAACUGGACAGUGGGGCUGGGGGUGAGGCCAGCUGGGAGGGGUCAGGUCCUGCCACGGGAGGGGGACUUUUAAAGUUCCUCCAUGGUCCCGGAACCCUGGAGCCUCAGGAGUGGCAGGGGAGCUUCUCCGGUGAGUGACAGCCUCUCUGGGGUCUCAGGGCUCCCUGCCUGGGGCCUUAGGAUUUCUGGGAGCUGCCUGCCCUGACAGCGUCCACCUCUCUGUCCCGACAGUGCCCGCGUCAUUUUCCUUCCCUGCCUGGCCCUCACCCUGCAGCCCCGGUUGUUGGAACACCCUCCCCUGGACCCUGGGC
Molecule: long non-coding RNA, 1182 nt
Organism: Symphalangus syndactylus (siamang)
Lineage: Eukaryota; Metazoa; Chordata; Mammalia; Primates; Hylobatidae
Source: RefSeq, a predicted model, not a curated record